Molecule: transfer RNA, 72 nt
Filed under: Camelus bactrianus (Bactrian camel)
Lineage: Eukaryota; Metazoa; Chordata; Mammalia; Artiodactyla; Camelidae
Also listed under: 2 other names
Rfam family: tRNA
About the family: Transfer RNA (tRNA) molecules are approximately 80 nucleotides in length. Their secondary structure includes four short double-helical elements and three loops (D, anti-codon, and T loops).
Source: Rfam by way of RNAcentral
GAGGGUAUAGCUCAGUGGUAGAGCACAUGCUUAGCAUGCACGAGGUCCUGGGUUCAAUUUCUAGUACCUUCA